UACGAAGGUGGCAAGCGUUGUUCGGAAUCACUGGGCGUAAAGGGCGCGUAGGCGGCCCUUCUUGUCGCGUGUGAAAGCCCCGGGCUCAACCUGGGAACGGCGCGCGAGACGGGAGGGCUGGAGUUCGGGAGAGGAGCGUGGAAUUCCCAGUGUAGAGGUGAAAUUCGUAGAUAUUGGGAAGAACACCGGUGGCGAAGGCGGCGCUCUGGACCGAGACUGACGCUGAGGCGCGAAAGCGUGGGGAGCGAACAGG
RNAcentral lists this ribosomal RNA (253 nucleotides) under uncultured bacterium. Its description in RNAcentral is "partial 16S ribosomal RNA". It matches the Rfam family "Bacterial small subunit ribosomal RNA", at positions 524 to 776 of the family's 1533-position model. The record is from RNAcentral.